UACGUAGGGAGCAAGCGUUGUCCGGAAUCAUUGGGCGUAAAGCGCGCGUAGGUGGCUCUAUAAGUCCGUUGUGAAAGUCAAAGGCUCAACCUUUGAAAGCCGAUGGAUACUGUAGAGCUAGAGUCCGGAAGAGGCGAGUGGAAUUCCUGGUGUAGCGGUGGAAUGCGCAGAUAUCAGGAGGAACACCAAUAGCGAAGGCAGCUCGCUGGGACGUGACUGACACUAAGGCCCGAAAGCGUGGGGAGCGAACAGG
RNAcentral lists this ribosomal RNA (253 nucleotides) under uncultured bacterium. RNAcentral's name for it is "partial 16S ribosomal RNA". It matches the Rfam family "Bacterial small subunit ribosomal RNA", at positions 524 to 776 of the family's 1533-position model. The record is from RNAcentral.